This 463-nucleotide ribosomal RNA is filed under the name uncultured bacterium. RNAcentral's name for it is "partial 16S ribosomal RNA". It matches the Rfam family "Bacterial small subunit ribosomal RNA", at positions 339 to 795 of the family's 1533-position model. The record is from RNAcentral.
CUACGGGUGGCUCCAGUAAGGAAUAUUGGUCAAUGGGCGAAAGCCUGAACCAGCCAUGCCGCGUGAGUGAAGACGGCCUUCGGGUUGUAAAACUCUUUUCUAAGGGAAGAACCAGCAGGACAGGAAAUGGUCCCGCUCUGACGGUACCUUAGGAAUAAGGAACGGCUAACUCCGUGCCAGCAGCCGCGGUAAUACGGAGGUUCCAAGCGUUGUUCGGAUUUACUGGGCGUAAAGGGAGCGCAGGCGGAAGGGUCAGUCUGAAGUGGAAUCCCGGGGCUCAACCUCGGACGUGCUUUGGAUACUGCCCUUCUUGAGUCCGUGAGAGGAAAGCGGAAUUCAGGGUGUAGCGGUGAAAUGCUUAGAUAUCCUGAGGAACACCAAUGGCGAAAGCAGCUUUCUGGCACGUGACUGACGCUGAGGCUCGAAAGCGUGGGGAGCGAACGGGAUUAGAUACCCCCGAGUC